RNAcentral lists this long non-coding RNA (345 nucleotides) under Homo sapiens (human). RNAcentral's name for it is "HSALNT0131479". The record is from RNAcentral. Lineage: Eukaryota; Metazoa; Chordata; Mammalia; Primates; Hominidae.
GUUAAGGAGGCGCUGUCCUGGCGUCGGAUGGGGACGGGGAACGCGGCGAGGGCGCUGCGACCUCUGCCCACCUGGCCCGGCCGCAGUCUCGGAGUUCCUGUUCCUCACAGGAGCUAAUUAUUUAUGACAGCUGCAUGGUUCCCCUCCCCCAGUUACUCAGUGCUUGGCACUCGGCACCCCUUACUCAGCACUCAGUACCGCACUCGGCCUCAGGGGACCUGGGCAGAGGGAAGCAGGGAGUCUCCCGCGGAAACUCUUGCUCUGCCAAAAGUUUCACUCUUGUCGCCCAGGCUGGAGUGCAAUGGCGAUCUCUGCUCACAACAACCUCUGCCUCUUGGGUUCAAG